RNAcentral lists this ribosomal RNA (121 nucleotides) under Tricholoma scalpturatum. RNAcentral's name for it is "5.8S ribosomal RNA". It matches the Rfam family "5.8S ribosomal RNA", at positions 1 to 121 of the family's 154-position model. Rfam says of the family: 5.8S ribosomal RNA (5.8S rRNA) is a component of the large subunit of the eukaryotic ribosome. It is transcribed by RNA polymerase I as part of the 45S precursor that also contains 18S and 28S rRNA. Functionally, it is thought that 5.8S rRNA may be involved in ribosome translocation. The record is from RNAcentral. Lineage: Eukaryota; Fungi; Basidiomycota; Agaricomycetes; Agaricales; Tricholomataceae. RNAcentral also lists the same sequence under 2 other names.
AACUUUCAACAACGGAUCUCUUGGCUCUCGCAUCGAUGAAGAACGCAGCGAAAUGCGAUAAGUAAUGUGAAUUGCAGAAUUCAGUGAAUCAUCGAAUCUUUGAACGCACCUUGCGCUCCUU